This 69-nucleotide transfer RNA is filed under the name Erinaceus europaeus (western European hedgehog). It matches the Rfam family "tRNA". Rfam says of the family: Transfer RNA (tRNA) molecules are approximately 80 nucleotides in length. Their secondary structure includes four short double-helical elements and three loops (D, anti-codon, and T loops). The record is from Rfam by way of RNAcentral. Lineage: Eukaryota; Metazoa; Chordata; Mammalia; Eulipotyphla; Erinaceidae.
GGUAAAUAGUUCAGAUUGUAGAGUGCAGGACUUACAUGCUUGGGGUUCUAGGUUCAAUUCCUAGUACCA